This 254-nucleotide unclassified non-coding RNA is filed under the name Alphaproteobacteria bacterium. RNAcentral's name for it is "contains 16S-23S intergenic spacer region". It matches the Rfam family "Bacterial small subunit ribosomal RNA", at positions 524 to 776 of the family's 1533-position model. Lineage: Bacteria; Pseudomonadati; Pseudomonadota; Alphaproteobacteria. The record is from RNAcentral.
UACGAAGGGGGCUAGCGUUGUUCGGAAUUACUGGGCGUAAAGCGCACGUAGGCGGGUUGUUAAGUCAGGGGUGAAAUCCCGAGGCUCAACCUCGGAACUGCCUUUGAUACUUGCAACCUUCGAGUCCGGGAGAGGUGAGUGGAACUCCGAGUGUAGAGGUGAAAUUCGUAGAUAUUCGGAAGAACACCAGUGGCGAAGGCGGCUCACUGGCCCGGUACUGACGCUGAGGUGCGAAAGCGUGGGGAGCAAACAGG